RNAcentral lists this ribosomal RNA (466 nucleotides) under uncultured bacterium. RNAcentral's name for it is "bacterial SSU rRNA". It matches the Rfam family "Bacterial small subunit ribosomal RNA", at positions 28 to 492 of the family's 1533-position model. The record is from RNAcentral.
GAUGAACGCUGGCGGCGUGCUUAAUACAUGCAAGUCGAACGAAGCACCUUGGACAGAAUCCUUCGGGAGGAAGACCAUUGUGACUGAGUGGCGGACGGGUGAGUAACGCGUGGGUAACCUGCCUUGUACAGGGGGAUAACAGUUGGAAACGACUGCUAAUACCGCAUAAGCGCACAGUACCGCAUGGUACGGUGUGAAAAACUCCGGUGGUACAAGAUGGACCCGCGUCUGAUUAGCUGGUUGGUGAGGUAACGGCCCACCAAGGCGACGAUCAGUAGCCGACUUGAGAGAGUGAUCGGCCACAUUGGGACUGAGACACGGCCCAAACUCCUACGGGAGGCAGCAGUAGGGAAUAUUGCACAAUGGGGGAAACCCUGAUGCAGCGACGCCGCGUGAAGGAAGAAGUAUUUCGGUAUGUAAACUUCUAUCAGCAAGGAAGAAAAUGACGGUACUUGACUAAGAAGCC